This is a long non-coding RNA of Juglans microcarpa x Juglans regia, 995 nucleotides long. RefSeq lists it as uncharacterized. NCBI's taxonomy places the organism in Eukaryota, Viridiplantae, Streptophyta, Magnoliopsida, Fagales, Juglandaceae. The record is from RefSeq and is a predicted model, not a curated record. The transcript is spliced from 2 exons.
CCCCCUGACCAUCCCUCCCAUCGCCUACCGUGAACCUCGAUGCCGUGAUCCCGUGACCCUCUCUCCAUUCACUCAUCGCCCCUCAAUGUUGUGAACCUCAUGGUCGUGUAAAGAUAUAGAAACCCACCCAUUGCAGCUAGAUGCCAUGAAUCGGAAUUGGUAAAAUGUCAAUACUCAAAGUAGAACAAAUAUUGUUUAUUAUCGUUGCUUUGACAAUUGAUUUGAGAAAUUUAAUAGACUUGUAAUAGAAAGCAAUGAACGCAAAAGGAAGAAAUACAUAAAUUUAGGCAUAAAUUAUAUAACAAGCAAUGUUGGGCAUGCCUGCUCUUUAUAUCUAUAUCAACUUAGAUUGAUUACUUGUGCUUUAUACAAUUUCAUCUUUUAACAUCAUAAUUUAUGCUUGAAACUUUUGUAUUUCAUCCUUUUGCAUGCAUUGCUUUCUGUUACAAGUCUGAUCAAUUUCUCAAUUUGAUUGUCCAAGCAACGAUAAUAAACAACAUUUGUUAUAGUUUUACUAUUGACAAAAUGUCGUGGCUAUUGACUAAAUUACCUAUUUCGAUUCACGGCGUCGAGCAUCAAUGUAGCAGCGAUGGCGAUGGGUGAAUGGAGAAAGGGUCACAGGGUCACAACAUUAAAGUUCACGACAGGCAAUGGGAGAGAUGGCCAGAGGGUCACGAUGUCGAGGUUGGUCGAUGGGAGAGAGGGUUAGGGGUUGGGUUAGUGGUCAUGGUCGAUGGGAGGAAAGGUCAGGAGUCACGAGCAUUGGGAGAUGCAUAAAUGGCUUGAACCGGAAUGAGAGUCUGUUUACUGCGGUCCCAUAAUUAGAAACCAUGGGUGGCUACGUGGCAAGACACCAAAGAAGAGUGUUAUUUGACACCAAGUCCGGUCACAAUAUUUAAGUGAUGUUCGGAUAGUGAGUUGAGAUGAAAUGUGUUAAGAUGAAAGUUGAAUAAAAUAUUGUUAGAAUAUUAUUUUAAAAUAUUAUUAUCGUUCUG